CACGGGAACGCGUCGCACCCCCGCCCCCUGCUUACCUGUGGCUGCCGCCUUGCCGCUGUCCGGGGCGGGAACUUCCACUCCCCCCUCCCAGGUGGAUCCGAAAUUCUCUACCCACUUCUCCACGCCCUCACGCGGCGGGCCAUAAUCUCAAGUGCAACGGCUGAGUGGAAAGUGAGCAUCCUCAUCACAAUUUUGCCUUUCAUAGUAGUGCUUCUGAAGUGCCAUCGUGUGACUUUGCCUCUCAAGACGUAGAGUCCUCUCCCUUGAAUCUGGGCUGGGCAGUGGAAUGCAGCCAAAGUGGUGUAUGACCUCCAAGAGUGGAUGAGAAGUUUACAGCCUAACCUGCUCUUGCCCCUGAUGUCUCCUUUGAGAAUCCAGCUGCUCGCUCCGAGAAUCCCAAGCUAGGAGGAGAGGCUACACUGAAGCGUAAACACCCAGACAGAAUGUGUUCCAGAGUUUUGGCUAGGCUGUUUCUAUCAAUAAUGGCCUUUUGGGUCUGUCCUAAGACCUUCUACCCCAAAGGUUCUACUUGACGUGGAAAGAGCACAAGCAUUGCGUCUUCAAGAGGGAGUUUUCUUAUUCAAGUCUGUAACAGACCAGGCAUUAAAUCUGCAGAUGACCCCACAAACACCUCUAGGCUAAUGACUGGACUCUCUUCCCCUUCCAGAGGACACUUCACCACAGUUACUAAUGAAGUUCCCAAAGACACAGCUCAGCUUUCUUUCUUCCACUAGCAUAUUCUGGCUUUGAGGGAUAGGCAAAAGAUCAAUAAAGCAGCCACGAGGCAGAGAGCAAAAACUAGAGAUAAAGCAGAGGUCUGAGGAACUACAAAUCCAGAUAAUCAGAUCCUAAGUAACUGGGAGUUGACCAUACUCUGAGAGGAAUGGAGUAUCUUAUUUGAAAGAAUGAGUACAGAGCACUUCUGUCCAAUAUCGUAGCCACUGGCCGCAUGUGGCUACCGAAAACUGGAAGUAUGGGUAGUCCGAAUUGAAAUGUGCUUAAUACACACUGGAUUUCAAAGACUUAAUAGGAAACAAAGAAAAUAAAAUAUCUCACUUUUCAUCCUGA
This is a long non-coding RNA of Felis catus (domestic cat), 1068 nucleotides long. RefSeq lists it as uncharacterized. NCBI's taxonomy places the organism in Eukaryota, Metazoa, Chordata, Mammalia, Carnivora, Felidae. The transcript is spliced from 4 exons. The record is from RefSeq and is a predicted model, not a curated record.